UCAAGUAGAAAAGGGCGCACGGUGAAUGCCUAGGCACUAAAAGCCGAUGAAGGACGUGACGAACUACGAAAAGCUUCGGGGAGCGGUAAGUACGCUAAGAUCCGGAGAUGUCCGAAUGGGGGAACCCAAUGCAGCGAUGCAUUAUUGAAUGAUGAAUAGAUAGUCAUUCAAAGGAAUACGCAGUGAACUGAAACAUCUAAGUAGCUGCAGGAAGAGAAAGAAAAAUCGAUUUCCUUAGUAGCGGCGAGCGAAGAGGAAAGAGCCCAAACCAAGUGAUUUAUCAUUUGGGGUUGUAGGACUGCGACGUGGCAGCGUAAGUGAUAGCAGAAUUAUCUGGGAAGGUAAGCCAGAGAGGGUGAGAGCCCCGUAAGCGAAAUUGCAAGCGCGCCUAGCAGAAUCCUGAGUAGGCCGGGACACGAGGAAUCCCGGUUGAAACCGCGAGGACCAUCUCGCAAGGCUAAAUACUAAUUAGUGACCGAUAGUGAACCAGUACCGUGAGGGAAAGGUGAAAAGAACCCCGGAAGGGGAGUGAAAGAGAACCUGAAACCGUGUGUCUACAAGUAGUCAAAGCACAUUAAAGUGCAAUGGCGUGCCUUUUGUAGAAUGAACCGGCGAGUUACGUUAACUAGCGAGGUUAAGUCAGAAAAGACGGAGCCGGAGCGAAAGCGAGUCUGAAUAGGGCGAGAAGUUAGUUGACGUAGACCCGAAACCAAGUGACCUACCCAUGACCAGGCUGAAGGUGUGGUAAAACGCACUGGAGGGCCGAACCCACGUAAGUUAAAAAUUGCGGGGAUGAGUUGUGGGUAGCGGUGAAAUUCCAAACGAACUUGGAGAUAGCUGGUUCUCUCCGAAAUAGCUUUAGGGCUAGCCUCGUGGAGAGGAUAAUGGAGGUAGAGCUCUGUUUGGACUAGGGGCCCGUCAGGGGUUACUGAAUCCAGAUAAACUGCGAAUUCCAUAUAUCCAUACACGGGAGUCAGACUGCGAGUGAUAAGAUCCGUAGUCGAAAGGGAAACAGCCCAGAUCACCAGUUAAGGUCCCCAAAUCUAUGCUAAGUGGAAAAGGAUGUGGAGUUGCGUAGACAACUAGGACGUUGGCUCAGAAGCAGCCAUCAUUCAAAGAGUGCGUAAUAGCUCACUAGUCGAGUGGCGCUGCGCCGAAAAUUUACCGGGGCUAAGCAUAGUACCGAAACUGUGGAUGUGUUUUAAAGAGCACGUGGUAGGAGAGCGUUCUAAGUGCGGCGAAGGCUAAUCGAGAGGAUAGUUGGAGCGCUUAGAAGUGAGAAUGCCGGUAUGAGUAGCGAAAGAUAGGUGAGAAUCCUAUCCGCCGAAAGACUAAGGUUUCCUGGGGCAGGCUCGUCCGCCCAGGGUAAGUCGGGACCUAAGGCAAGGCCGAGAGGCGUAGUCGAUGGAUAACAGGUAGAGAUUCCUGUACUGUGUUCAAUCGUUAUGAGCAAUGGAGGGACGCAGGAGGCGAAACACGCAUCGAGCUGGAUCGAUGUUCAAGCAGCGAGUGCGGUUAAGAGUCAAAUGCUUCUAACCAGCAACAUGAGCUGUGAUGAGUAGCGAAGUAAAAGUAGCGAAGGUGAUGUAGUCACACUGCCAAGAAAAGCUUCUAGCCAGAGAGAACAUACCCGUACCGCAAACCGACACAGGUAGUCGAGUGGAGAACACUAAGGUGAGCGAGAGAACUCUCGUUAAGGAACUCGGCAAAAUGACCCCGUAACUUCGGAAGAAGGGGUGCUGGCCAUGAGAGUGGUUAGCCGCAGUGAAUAGGCCCAAACAACUGUUUAUCAAAAACACAGGUCUCUGCAAAAUCGUAAGAUGACGUAUAGAGGCUGACACCUGCCCGGUGCUGGAAGGUUAAGAGGAGAGCUUAGCGCAAGCGAAGGUUUGAAUUGAAGCCCCAGUAAACGGCGGCCGUAACUAUAACGGUCCUAAGGUAGCGAAAUUCCUUGUC
RNAcentral lists this ribosomal RNA (1956 nucleotides) under human gut metagenome. RNAcentral describes it as "bacterial LSU rRNA". It matches the Rfam family "Bacterial large subunit ribosomal RNA", at positions 3 to 1973 of the family's 2925-position model. The record is from RNAcentral.